This 274-nucleotide ribosomal RNA is filed under the name uncultured bacterium. RNAcentral's name for it is "partial 16S ribosomal RNA". It matches the Rfam family "Bacterial small subunit ribosomal RNA", at positions 523 to 796 of the family's 1533-position model. The record is from RNAcentral.
AUACGGAGGGUGCGAGCGUUAAUCGGAAUUACUGGGCGUAAAGCGCGCGUAGGCGGUCUGGUCAGUCGGAUGUGAAAGCCCCGGGCUCAACCUGGGAAUUGCAUUCGAUACUGCCAGACUGGAGUGUGGUAGAGGGUAGCGGAAUUCCCGGUGUAGCGGUGAAAUGCGGAGAUAUCGGGAGGAACACCAGUGGCGAAGGCGGCUACCUGGACCAACACUGACGCUGAGGUGCGAAAGCGUGGGGAGCAAACAGGAUUAGAAGCCCUAGUAGUCC